GCGCUCACUUUGGCAGUACAUAUACUAAAAAAUUGAAACAAUACAAAGAAGAUUAGCAUGGCCCCUGUGCGAGCAUGACAUGAAAUUUGUGAAGUGUUCCAUAUUUUU
This is a non-coding RNA of Erinaceus europaeus (western European hedgehog), 108 nucleotides long. Lineage: Eukaryota; Metazoa; Chordata; Mammalia; Eulipotyphla; Erinaceidae. The record is from Rfam.